RNAcentral lists this ribosomal RNA (253 nucleotides) under uncultured Alphaproteobacteria bacterium. RNAcentral's name for it is "partial 16S ribosomal RNA". It matches the Rfam family "Bacterial small subunit ribosomal RNA", at positions 524 to 776 of the family's 1533-position model. The record is from RNAcentral. Lineage: Bacteria; Pseudomonadati; Pseudomonadota; Alphaproteobacteria.
UACGGAGGGGGCUAGCGUUGUUCGGAAUUACUGGGCGUAAAGCGCGCGUAGGCGGACCGUUAAGUCGGGGGUGAAAUCCCGGGGCUCAACCCCGGAACGGCCUUCGAUACUGGCGGUCUGGAGGUCGAGAGAGGUGGGUGGAAUUCCGAGUGUAGAGGUGAAAUUCGUAGAUAUUCGGAGGAACACCGGUGGCGAAGGCGGCCCACUGGCUCGAUUCUGACGCUGAGGCGCGAAAGCGUGGGGAGCAAACAGG